CUUCUCUUUAACUCUCAAAGAGCCAAAUUAAAAAAAUUACAAGCACAUAAAAUUUCUCAAAGACUAAGAAACUACAUCAUAUCAUAGACUAUUUUUAAUUGUAUUAACCAAUAACCAUGCCAGUUGUAAUUGUUGUCAUUUAAAUCCCUCCAUUUUCAGCAAGAAAUAAUCAUAUUCUCGGUUAUUUUGCUAGUUUCUAGAGACAGCCUCAGGAUUCAAUGUUUUGUAUAGCUGGUGUGUGUGUGUGUGCGCGCGUAUGUAUGUAUUGAUUUCUUAACCUGAAAUUGGGACAUAUGGACUAAUAAAGAAUUUUGUCUAAUUCAUGAGUUUAUUUAUACAUGAAUAUCUUG
This 350-nucleotide long non-coding RNA is filed under the name Bos taurus (domestic cattle). RNAcentral describes it as "long non-coding RNA NONBTAT001202". Lineage: Eukaryota; Metazoa; Chordata; Mammalia; Artiodactyla; Bovidae. The record is from RNAcentral.